This 77-nucleotide transfer RNA is filed under the name Pseudomonas lundensis. RNAcentral describes it as "tRNA_Pseudo_GTT". The record is from RNAcentral. Lineage: Bacteria; Pseudomonadati; Pseudomonadota; Gammaproteobacteria; Pseudomonadales; Pseudomonadaceae.
GGAGCGGUAGUGCGGUCGAUGGCUAUAUCGAUCUGUUACGCCGGGGGUCGCGGGUUCGAGCCCGGUCCGCUCCGCCA